This 976-nucleotide ribosomal RNA is filed under the name Escherichia coli. Its description in RNAcentral is "partial 23S ribosomal RNA". It matches the Rfam family "Bacterial large subunit ribosomal RNA", at positions 419 to 1395 of the family's 2925-position model. The record is from RNAcentral. Lineage: Bacteria; Pseudomonadati; Pseudomonadota; Gammaproteobacteria; Enterobacterales; Enterobacteriaceae.
GGGACACGUGGUAUCCUGUCUGAAUAUGGGGGGACCAUCCUCCAAGGCUAAAUACUCCUGACUGACCGAUAGUGAACCAGUACCGUGAGGGAAAGGCGAAAAGAACCCCGGCGAGGGGAGUGAAAAAGAACCUGAAACCGUGUACGUACAAGCAGUGGGAGCACGCUUAGGCGUGUGACUGCGUACCUUUUGUAUAAUGGGUCAGCGACUUAUAUUCUGUAGCAAGGUUAACCGAAUAGGGGAGCCGAAGGGAAACCGAGUCUUAACUGGGCGUUAAGUUGCAGGGUAUAGACCCGAAACCCGGUGAUCUAGCCAUGGGCAGGUUGAAGGUUGGGUAACACUAACUGGAGGACCGAACCGACUAAUGUUGAAAAAUUAGCGGAUGACUUGUGGCUGGGGGUGAAAGGCCAAUCAAACCGGGAGAUAGCUGGUUCUCCCCGAAAGCUAUUUAGGUAGCGCCUCGUGAAUUCAUCUCCGGGGGUAGAGCACUGUUUCGGCAAGGGGGUCAUCCCGACUUACCAACCCGAUGCAAACUGCGAAUACCGGAGAAUGUUAUCACGGGAGACACACGGCGGGUGCUAACGUCCGUCGUGAAGAGGGAAACAACCCAGACCGCCAGCUAAGGUCCCAAAGUCAUGGUUAAGUGGGAAACGAUGUGGGAAGGCCCAGACAGCCAGGAUGUUGGCUUAGAAGCAGCCAUCAUUUAAAGAAAGCGUAAUAGCUCACUGGUCGAGUCGGCCUGCGCGGAAGAUGUAACGGGGCUAAACCAUGCACCGAAGCUGCGGCAGCGACACUAUGUGUUGUUGGGUAGGGGAGCGUUCUGUAAGCCUGUGAAGGUGUGCUGUGAGGCAUGCUGGAGGUAUCAGAAGUGCGAAUGCUGACAUAAGUAACGAUAAAGCGGGUGAAAAGCCCGCUCGCCGGAAGACCAAGGGUUCCUGUCCAACGUUAAUCGGGGCAGGGUGAGUCGACCCCUAAG